Eucalyptus grandis is the source of this 970-nucleotide long non-coding RNA. RefSeq lists it as uncharacterized. NCBI's taxonomy places the organism in Eukaryota, Viridiplantae, Streptophyta, Magnoliopsida, Myrtales, Myrtaceae. The record is from RefSeq and is a predicted model, not a curated record. The transcript has 4 exons.
GGCCUUGGCGAGGUCACCUCGAGCUCGCCGAUCAUUGGCGAGGCCCCAUGAGCCUUGUUGAGGUUGGUCGAGGCUCAACCUCGCAUAGCCACAGCGAGGCUCGAGGGGACCUCACCGAUGGCACCUCACCAGUGGCUGGAUGGGCUCCCCGAGGCCGCCGGCGACCUCGACAGUGCUGGCAUCUGUCAUACCCGGAUCUUGCCUCCCUCGUCCGCUUUUGUCCCCUUCUCUCGUUCUCCCUGGCCUCUUUCACUCUCUCUCCACUCUAUACAUACGGACUUGACCAGACCGCCACCUCCCCAACCCAAACGCUCUUCACACACUGCAGCAACGAGAGGCUCCAUCGCAGACCCACCCCUUCCGACCAAUUUCACCCAGGUCCUCCGCAGUUGCCCCACCAACUCCUCCUCUCCAAUCUUGAAUGCCAACACGGCGACACCCCUGCGAGCUCCCAGUGAUAGGCCUGAAUGGGGUGAGCAGUGGGGUGAGCAGUGAGUGUGAGGCAGAGAGGCAGUCGUGCGCAGAGGCCAUAUGCAGCGCCGCCAAAGAUUGGGGAUUCUUCCAGGUGCUUCUUGGAGAUGUAGGAGCUGGACAAUCUGGCUUAGUACUGCGGUUUGUUAAAGGCCAAUAUGUUAAAUUUCAGCCCUGCCUUCUUUUCUCAGACUUCGGCUAUAAAUGAUGCAACUGUGAAGUUUGAGAUCUGAGAUACUGCUAGCCAAGAGAGAUACCACAGCUUGGCUCCUGUGUACUAUAGAGGAGCUGCUGCGGCAAUCAUCGUGUCUCAUGACACAUUUAGCAUCAUUUGAGCGAGCCAAAGUGGGUGCAAGAACUUCAAGCACAGGGUAGUGAUAAAUAUUUUUUGCUUGACUUCUCUAUGUUAUAGUUAUUUGUUUGGCUUUGCUGUUGGUUUGCAGAAAAAGUGGUUUGCUUGUUAUCCUUUUGCUUCCCCUUUUGGGCUUUGAAAUACUUG